Non-coding RNA from Danio rerio (zebrafish), 365 nucleotides. The record is from RefSeq and is a predicted model, not a curated record. Lineage: Eukaryota; Metazoa; Chordata; Actinopteri; Cypriniformes; Danionidae.
AUUUCUUCCGCGUUCUUGACCAGUGAAAGCGCGUGUUUAGGGUGGCGCUGACUGCCUUCAGCUUCCACGGAUAAUUUCUCAAAUCAGUGUACCUGUUUCCGAUCAGGAGAAUUAUGUUGUGGUAGCAGCAUGGCUCUGCAUGCACCAGCGCUGAAGAAAGAUAUCAUGGCGGUGUGCCAAUAUUUCAUGUGGGCCGGGGAUUACAUUCAACAGACAACAAAGUCUUGCAGGUCUUGCAAUGGCAUGAGAGUGAGUAAAUCAUUUAAUAGUUUUUAUUUUUAUGGUAAACUUUUUCUUUGUUACGCUAAACAAGACAACAAUAAAACAGAGUGACCAGAUGUCCUGCGCUCAAAAAAAUGUGUUUU